AGUCUAGGGCCUGCCCACUGAUAGAUAAAUUUAAGGGCCGCGGUAUUUUAACCGUGCAAAGGUAGCAUAAUCAUUAGGUUUUUAAUUAAAAUCUUGUAUGAAUGGUUGGACAAAAGUGUAUCUGUCUUUGUAUUAAAUUUUAAAUUUAACUUUUAAGUGAAAAGGCUUAAAUAUAUUAGAGGGACGAUAAGACCCUAUAAAACUUUACGUUAUAAUUUUAUUUAGUUGAAUUUUAUAAGUAAAGAUUUAAUUUUAUUAUGUGUUAUGUUGGGGAGACAAAGGUAAAAUUUUUUUUAACUGCUUUGUAUUUAAACAAAUAUUUAUGAAUAUCAAAUGAUCCUUUGUAUUGAUUAAGAGAUUAAGUUACUUUAGGGAUAACAGCAUUAUUUUCUUUGAGAGUUCUUAUCGAAAAGAAAGUUUGUGACCUCGAUGUUGAAUUAAGAUAUCUUUGUAGUGCAGAAGUUAUAAGAGAAGGUCUG
This 479-nucleotide ribosomal RNA is filed under the name Potamon ibericum. RNAcentral's name for it is "partial large subunit ribosomal RNA". It matches the Rfam family "Archaeal large subunit ribosomal RNA", at positions 1941 to 2648 of the family's 2987-position model. Lineage: Eukaryota; Metazoa; Arthropoda; Malacostraca; Decapoda; Potamidae. The record is from RNAcentral.